Molecule: long non-coding RNA, 508 nt
Organism: Oxyura jamaicensis (ruddy duck)
Lineage: Eukaryota; Metazoa; Chordata; Aves; Anseriformes; Anatidae
Exons: 2
Source: RefSeq, a predicted model, not a curated record
GGGCCGUGCCUGAUGCUCUUUGGGUUUCUGCCGGGGUGCUGGUGUACUUGUGAGGACAGGCAUCAUCUGUGUGCCCUGCACCCCCAUCUCCCUAAAAAUACGGGCAUUUCUGCAGGGCUCUGCAUUGUUUUUGGGUCCUGUCCUGCAGCGGGCUGGAGAACAGAUGAAAAUACCACAGGCUCAAAAGCAUUUAAAUAGAUUGCACCUGGGUUUCAGUCCCGCACUCAGCCAGCACCGCGUACUGCCCAGCACUGAGCCCCAGGACUAUUUCCAGCACCACAAGGAUGCACAACCAGCGCACGCUGCCCGGCGGUAUGGGAUUACACCAGUGUCCGAUGUCACCGAGGGCACUUGUGUGGAAUAAACAGUCCUGCUCAGGUGAUCCCGAAGAAUUAAUCUGCCUACAAGUACUUUUUUUUUUUUUUUCCUGAUCAAGUGUCCCUGGUUGACAACACAGAACUUCAUGAUGCUAUCUUUAGAGAGGCUCUUCUGCACAGAAACACCCUUU